GCCUGCUUGGGAUUUUCUCUCUCCUUCUCCCUACCCCUUUCCUGCUUGUACACACACCUAAAAAUAAAUAAACAUUAAAAAAAUAAAAUAUAAAGUACGUUUCUAAAACACGCCAUUUUUCUUCAGUGAAGGAUAUAAUUAAAUACAGUACCAUCUAAUGUAGAUCUCAAAAAAAUAUAUGUGGAGUGUGUGCCUCACCCCACCUUUGAUUGUGAAUCAUUUUACUCAUCAUUUUACUCAUCAUUUUACUGAUAAAUGCUGCUUCAGUCUUCUAUUCUAAGCCUCUUCCAAGUAGUGUUUAAGGUGGGGUCAUUAGGAAGAUUCUUAAAUCAUUAAAGAUUAAACUUCUUCAUGUAGAAACCUUGUGGAGUCAUGAUAACAUAGCUUCACUAUGAGCCUUUUCUGAUUUUAGAAGUAUUCAUGGAACCUGAAGAAUUACUUUUCUGAUUGUUUUUUGUUGUUGUUGUUGUUAUUGUUUUUUUCAGAUUCAACACCAAAAAAAAGCAGGGAGAAACUAAGACUCAAUCAAGGCUGUAGCUUAAAUGCAUUUGAAGGGAGUUUACUACUGUGUUACUGGGCAUUUUUUUUCUUGUAUCAUCAACAGACUUGGAAAAAACUCACUUUUUAGUAUAGAUUUUAUUCUAUACAACAUUAAUGCAGAUACAAGCAGCCAGUGUCUACUGAGAGAAUUCUUACUCUCUUCUCCAGAGCAUAUUAUUUUGCACCUCUUCUGUGAAGGCUAGGAGAAUGAUUGCUUGUAAGGUACUAUUUUAAUAGUACAAUUCAAAAUAGAAUAUUUUAACAAUUACUUUAUAUGAAUUCUGUGGAUACCUGUAAUGUAACCAUAAUGCAGUGGUGAGUAUUCCAGUAAUUGUUUUUGGAGGGAGAUUUCUCACCUGCUUGUCCGGUUUGUCACAGUCACGGGAAGUCAUGCGUUAUCAAGUACUUCUGUGUUCUCCGUAUCAGCUUCUAGUGCCACGAGAGGGGUGUGUACCUGCUGCCCCACCCCACAAGAGUUAGUGUGCCUGACUCUUGGCUAUCAUGUGCCAGAUGUUUUGUGCUAACCCCCCAAAAAGGUUUUCUCUGUUAAAUCUGAAAAUGCAUUUUUUUUUAUCCUACAGGGAAAUUUUUAAAGUAGUGUUCAGUAACUUCAAAUGAAUAAAAUUGACCGUCACAUUGAUCUAUUUUAAAACUACUUUUUCAAACAUAUGAAGUAUUUGACUUUUCCCAGUGGGUUCCCAUGUACUUCAAAGACCCUGCUGUAGUUUGCUGGUUCUGUUAAUAGAAUCUUCCAUGUAAGAGUUCCACAUCAAAGGCAAGGAGUAAGUAUACCAUUGUGUAAGAUUGGGUCAGAACUUGGGUCAGUUACCUGUCGUGUUACACAACAGAGUCAACAAAAGCACAAACAUUAUCCCUCUCUGUAUAAUAGAAAAUAGACACAUAAGUCUUUAUCAAAUUUUUCUGAGAGUUUAUAAGUUCUUGACACCAAUAAGUUGUUUUCUGUGAUUUCAGUAUUACAGGUUACACAGAUUUUGUCUUGUGACAAAAUUUUGCUAUACAAAGGAGGAAUGUUUUGUGCAAAUGAUGUAGAGUUUAGUUGUAAGGUUUCCAGUUCUCUGAAUGGCUUUAUUAAAAGAUCUCUGAACUUGGGACACACAUGGGUAUUUCCUCCCUCUCAGCCCUCUUCUGUAGUCCAGCUGCCUCAGUAAUUACUCUUGACUGUUGUCUCAGGUGGGUCUCCUGUAAUCAAGAGACACUUAAGCAUGGUUGGGGCCAGGUGUCCACCUUUCUCUAUGCUGUGAGCCUUCCCCUAAACUUGUUACCAUUUGAAUUUUAGCAAAAUAAAAUGUCUCAAGUUGACUCAUGCCUUUGUGAAGCUUGUCUUUGAUAAUAAGUGGAACUGAGUCUAUAUUAUCAUCUUGGCACAACAGCAGCAACCAGCCAGCUCUUGGAAUCUCUCGUGCUUUCCUCCUAAGAAAAUAAGAGGUGGUUUGCAGGCUCCUUCAGUGACUCAGUGAGUUACAUCACUCAUCCUGGGAAAGAGAAUUAUAAUUGAAAGGAAUGACACUAUUGUAAGUAUUCAUUACAUUUUUUAUGUAGUUUUAAUUCAUACUUGACUGAGCAAUUAGAAAAGUAUGGUUCCAGAUACUCUAAUCAAACAAAUGAAUUGGCAUCUGUACACAUACACAUACUCACAUGACAUUUAAAGCCCCAGAAUUUAAAUAAGCAUCACUUUAAUAAUAUCUGAAGCUCUUGCAAGAAAUAUAAUGGUGGCUGUCUUUACUCUCUUACAUAAAACUUCUGCAUAAGACUAGUUAAUACAAAAUUAGACCACUUACAGCAUUACAGACAUUUGGAUAUUCAAAUG
Long non-coding RNA from Leopardus geoffroyi (Geoffroy's cat), 2368 nucleotides. RefSeq lists it as uncharacterized. The record is from RefSeq and is a predicted model, not a curated record. Lineage: Eukaryota; Metazoa; Chordata; Mammalia; Carnivora; Felidae. The transcript is spliced from 2 exons.